CCGCACCUGGUCCACCGGUGCGAGCGCGAUCACCGCUCGUACCGGUGUUCGGGUGGCGGCAUCCAGUACGGCCAGCUCGGCCGUGGUGCUGCGGUC
This 96-nucleotide transfer RNA is filed under the name Streptomyces sp. AVP053U2. Its description in RNAcentral is "tRNA-Thr". The record is from RNAcentral. Lineage: Bacteria; Bacillati; Actinomycetota; Actinomycetes; Kitasatosporales; Streptomycetaceae.